RNAcentral lists this ribosomal RNA (497 nucleotides) under uncultured bacterium. RNAcentral describes it as "partial 16S ribosomal RNA". It matches the Rfam family "Bacterial small subunit ribosomal RNA", at positions 28 to 507 of the family's 1533-position model. The record is from RNAcentral.
GAUGAACGCUGGCGGCGUGCCUAAUACAUGCAAGUCGAGCGAACAGACGAGGAGCUUGCUCCUCUGACGUUAGCGGCGGACGGGUGAGUAACACGUGGAUAACCUACCUAUAAGACUGGGAUAACUUCGGGAAACCGGAGCUAAUACCGGAUAAUAUAUUGAACCGCAUGGUUCAAUAGUGAAAGACGGUUUUGCUGUCACUUAUAGAUGGAUCCGCGCCGCAUUAGCUAGUUGGUAAGGUAACGGCUUACCAAGGCAACGAUGCGUAGCCGACCUGAGAGAGUGAGCGGCCACACUGGAACUGAGACACGGUCCAGACUCCUACGGGAGGCAGCAGUAGGGAAUAUUCCGCAAUGGGCGAAAGCUUGACCGAGCAACGCCGCGUGAGUGAUGAAGGUCUUCGGAUCGUAAAACUCUGUUAUUAGGGAAGAACAAAUGUGUAAGUAAAUAUGCACGUCUUGACGGUACCUAAUCAGAAAGCCACGGCUAACUACGUG